RNAcentral lists this ribosomal RNA (253 nucleotides) under uncultured bacterium. RNAcentral's name for it is "partial 16S ribosomal RNA". It matches the Rfam family "Bacterial small subunit ribosomal RNA", at positions 524 to 776 of the family's 1533-position model. The record is from RNAcentral.
UACGUAGGGUGCAAGCGUUGUCCGGAAUUAUUGGGCGUAAAGAGCUCGUAGGCGGUUUGUCGCGUCUGCCGUGAAAGUCCGGGGCUCAACUCCGGAUCUGCGGUGGGUACGGGCAGACUAGAGUGAUGUAGGGGAGACUGGAAUUCCUGGUGUAGCGGUGAAAUGCGCAGAUAUCAGGAGGAACACCGAUGGCGAAGGCAGGUCUCUGGGCAUUGACUGACGCUGAGGAGCGAAAGCAUGGGGAGCGAACAGG